AGUUUGAUAGAGGGGAAGGGUUCUUCCCUAAAGUUUCAAUCCAACACAAUUUGCCCCAAAUUACAAUGCAUUAAGCUGUGAUUUUUGUGCAAGAAGCUUUUUCUAAGCUCAAUUUAGUGUUCUUGAUCGAAGGGUCGAAGAAAGGAGGGGAAUCAAGCCAAACAAGGGCAAUAGGAGCGCACGACUCCGGUAAAUCUCAUGCUUAAGGUUGGCGACUUGGAACAAACACACCACAAGGCCGAAUGCGCUUCCGAUAUCAAGAUUGUGUCAAACGGGUCAAAACUUGAAUUUCAAAGUGUUUUUGAAGUUAAAAUUUUAUACUCAUGUUAUUUUUCUAGUAGGCUAAUGAUAGAUGUAAAUUUAGUUGCAUGAAUAUGAAUUCGAACCGUAAGACAAAUGUUCAAAGUUUUAUACAUGGUUGGAUCU
This is a long non-coding RNA of Helianthus annuus (common sunflower), 426 nucleotides long. RefSeq lists it as uncharacterized. The transcript has 3 exons. Lineage: Eukaryota; Viridiplantae; Streptophyta; Magnoliopsida; Asterales; Asteraceae. The record is from RefSeq and is a predicted model, not a curated record.